This 459-nucleotide ribosomal RNA is filed under the name uncultured bacterium. Its description in RNAcentral is "partial 16S ribosomal RNA". It matches the Rfam family "Bacterial small subunit ribosomal RNA", at positions 338 to 795 of the family's 1533-position model. The record is from RNAcentral.
CCUACGGGAGGCAGCAGUGAGGAAUAUUGGUCAAUGGUCGGGAGACUGAACCAGCCAAGCCGCGUGAGGGAUGAAGGUACAGCGUAUCGUAAACCUCUUUUGUCAGGGAACAAAGGCGGGGACGUGUCCCCGGCUGAGUGUACCUGAAGAACAAGCAUCGGCUAACUCCGUGCCAGCAGCCGCGGUAAUACGGAGGAUGCGAGCGUUAUCCGGAUUUAUUGGGUUUAAAGGGUGCGCAGGCGGUCUGUUAAGUCAGCGGUCAAAGCCCGGGGCUCAACCCCGGCCCGCCGUUGAAACUGGCAGUCUCGAGUGGGAGAGAAGUAUGCGGAAUGCGCGGUGUAGCGGUGAAAUGCAUAGAUAUCGCGCAGAACUCCGAUUGCGAAGGCAGCAUGCCGGCUCCACACUGACGCUGAGGCACGAAAGCGUGGGUAUCGAACAGGAUUAGAUACCCGGGUAGUC